GUUGUUGGGUAGGGGAGCGUUCUGUAAGCCUGUGAAGGUGUGCUGUGAGGCAUGCUGGAGGUAUCAGAAGUGCGAAUGCUGACAUAAGUAACGAUAAAGCGGGUGAAAAGCCCGCUCGCCGGAAGACCAAGGGUUCCUGUCCAACGUUAAUCGGGGCAGGGUGAGUCGACCCCUAAGGCGAGGCCGAAAGGCGUAGUCGAUGGGAAACAGGUUAAUAUUCCUGUACUUGGUGUUACUGCGAAGGGGGGACGGAGAAGGCUAUGUUGGCCGGGCGACGGUUGUCCCGGUUUAAGCGUGUAGGCUGGUUUUCCAGGCAAAUCCGGAAAAUCAAGGCUGAGGCGUGAUGACGAGGCACUACGGUGCUGAAGCAACAAAUGCCCUGCUUCCAGGAAAAGCCUCUAAGCAUCAGGUAACAUCAAAUCGUACCCCAAACCGACACAGGUGGUCAGGUAGAGAAUACCAAGGCGCUUGAGAGAACUCGGGUGAAGGAACUAGGCAAAAUGGUGCCGUAACUUCGGGAGAAGGCACGCUGAUAUGUAGGUGAAGUCCCUCGCGGAUGGAGCUGAAAUCAGUCGAAGAUACCAGCUGGCUGCAACUGUUUAUUAAAAACACAGCACUGUGCAAACACGAAAGUGGACGUAUACGGUGUGACGCCUGCCCGGUGCCGGAAGGUUAAUUGAUGGGGUCAGCGCAAGCGAAGCUCUUGAUCGAAGCCCCGGUAAACGGCGGCCGUAACUAUAACGGUCCUAAGGUAGCGAAAUUCCUUGUCGGGUAAGUUCCGACCUGCACGAAUGGCGUAAUGAUGGCCAGGCUGUCUCCACCCGAGACUCAGUGAAAUUGAACUCGCUGUGAAGAUGCAGUGUACCCGCGGCAAGACGGAAAGACCCCGUGAACCUUUACUAUAGCUUGACACUGAACAUUGAGCCUUGAUGUGUAGGAUAGGUGGGAGGCUUUGAAGUGUGGACGCCAGUCUGCAUGGAGCCGACCUUGAAAUACCACCCUUUAAUGUUUGAUGUUCUAACGUGGACCCGUGAUCCGGGUUGCGGACAGUGUCUGGUGGGUAGUUUGACUGGGGCGGUCUCCUCCUAAAGAGUAACGGAGGAGCACGAAGGUUGGCUAAUCCUGGUCGGACAUCAGGAGGUUAGUGCAAUGGCAUAAGCCAGCUUGACUGCGAGCGUGACGGCGCGAGCAGGUGCGAAAGCAGGUCAUAGUGAUCCGGUGGUUCUGAAUGGAAGGGCCAUCGCUCAACGGAUAAAAGGUACUCCGGGGAUAACAGGCUGAUACCGCCCAAGAGUUCAUAUCGACGGCGGUGUUUGGCACCUCGAUGUCGGCUCAUCACAUCCUGGGGCUGAAGUAGGUCCCAAGGGUAUGGCUGUUCGCCAUUUAAAGUGGUACGCGAGCUGGGUUUAGAACGUCGUGAGACAGUUCGGUCCCUAUCUGCCGUGGGCGCUGGAGAACUGAGGGGGGCUGCUCCUAGUACGAGAGGACCGGAGUGGACGCAUCACUGGUGUUCGGGUUGUCAUGCCAAUGGCACUGCCCGGUAGCUAAAUGCGGAAGAGAUAAGUGCUGAAAGCAUCUAAGCACGAAACUUGCCCCGAGAUGAGUUCUCCCUGACCCUUUAAGGGUCCUGAAGGAACGUUGAAGACGACGACGUUGAUAGGCCGGGUGUGUAAGCGCAGCGAUGCGUUGAGCUAACCGGUACUAAUGAACCGUGAGGCUUAACCU
RNAcentral lists this ribosomal RNA (1725 nucleotides) under Escherichia coli 99.1781. Its description in RNAcentral is "bacterial LSU rRNA". It matches the Rfam family "Bacterial large subunit ribosomal RNA", at positions 1220 to 2925 of the family's 2925-position model. The record is from RNAcentral. Lineage: Bacteria; Pseudomonadati; Pseudomonadota; Gammaproteobacteria; Enterobacterales; Enterobacteriaceae.